RNAcentral lists this ribosomal RNA (253 nucleotides) under uncultured bacterium. RNAcentral describes it as "partial 16S ribosomal RNA". It matches the Rfam family "Bacterial small subunit ribosomal RNA", at positions 524 to 776 of the family's 1533-position model. The record is from RNAcentral.
UACGGAGGGUGCGAGCGUUAAUCGGAAUUACUGGGCGUAAAGGGUGCGUAGGUUGUUGAUUAAGUUAUCUGUGAAAUACCUGGGCUUAACCUGGGCAGGUCAGAUAAGACUGAUUGACUCGAGUAUAGGAGAGGGUAGUGGAAUUUCCGGUGUAGCGGUGAAAUGCGUAGAGAUCGGAAGGAACAUCGGUGGCGAAGGCGGCUACCUGGCCUGAUACUGACACUGAGGCACGAAAGCGUGGGGAGCAAACAGG